Molecule: small nucleolar RNA, 132 nt
Organism: Phyllostomus discolor (pale spear-nosed bat)
Lineage: Eukaryota; Metazoa; Chordata; Mammalia; Chiroptera; Phyllostomidae
Product: small nucleolar RNA SNORA51
Exons: 1
Source: RefSeq, a predicted model, not a curated record
GGCCUUCCAGUGCUUACCAUGAGCUGUGUUCUUACACCGCCUAUACAGAAAGAGGAGGCAGAGUAAACCCACUCCAUAUACACCUCAGCCCAGGCCCUCUGCCUGGUCUGUAUUAUGAAUGGAGGGACAUGG